Molecule: ribosomal RNA, 566 nt
Filed under: uncultured bacterium
Lineage: Bacteria
Description: bacterial SSU rRNA
Rfam family: Bacterial small subunit ribosomal RNA
Source: RNAcentral
CGGCGUGCUCAUACAUGCAAGUCAAGGAGAACGUACUUUUCGGAGUGCUAUUAAACUGGCGAACGGGUGAGUAACGCGUGGGCAACCUGCCCUAGAGAUUGGGAUAACUUCGGGAAACUGGAGCUAAUACCGAAUAAUGCAGCGGAUCCCUCGGGAUACAGUUGUUAAAGCGGGCUUCGGCUCGCGCUUUAGGAUGGGCCUGCGUCCGAUUAGCUUGUUGGUAAGGUAAAGGCUUACCAAGGCAAUGAUCGGUAGCUGGUCUGAGAGGAUGAUCAGCCACACUGGGAUUGAGAUACGGCCCAGACCACCACGGUGGGCAGCAGUAAGGAAUUUUGCGCAAUGGGGGAAACCCUGACGCAGCAACGCCGCGUGACCGAUGAAGCUUCUAGGAGCGUAAAGGUCUGUCGUAAGGGAAGAAAAGUUUAGAUGUAAAUAAUGUUUGAACCUGACGGUACCUUACAAGAAAGCACCGGCUAACUUCGUGCCAGCAGCCGCGGUAAUACGAGGGGUGCGAGCGUNGUCCGGAAUCACUGGGCGUAAAGGGUCCGUAGGCGUUUCAACAAGUC